Molecule: ribosomal RNA, 430 nt
Filed under: Verrucomicrobiota bacterium
Lineage: Bacteria; Pseudomonadati; Verrucomicrobiota
Description: Verrucomicrobia bacterium partial 16S ribosomal RNA
Rfam family: Bacterial small subunit ribosomal RNA
Source: RNAcentral
UAGGGAAUCUUCGGCAAUGGGGGGAACCCUGACCGAGCAACGCCGCGUGAGUGAAGAAGGUUUUCGGAUCGUAAAGCUCUGUUGUUAAGGAAGAACGAGUGUGAGAAUGGAAAGUUCAUGCUGUGACGGUACUUAACCAGAAAGGGACGGCUAACUACGUGCCAGCAGCCGCGGUAAUACGUAGGUCCCGAGCGUUGUCCGGAUUUAUUGGGCGUAAAGCGAGCGCAGGCGGUUUAGAAAGUCUGAUGUGAAAGCCCACGGCUCAACCGUGGAGGGUCAUUGGAAACUAAUAAACUUGAGUGCAGGAGAGAAAAGUGGAAUUCCUAGUGUAGCGGUGAAAUGCGUAGAGAUUAGGAGGAACACCGGUGGCGAAAGCGGCUUUUUGGCCUGCAACUGACACUGAGGCGCGAAAGCGUGGGGAGCAAACAGG